GACGAACGCUGGCGGCGUGCUUAACACAUGCAAGUCGAACGGUGAAGCGCCUUCCUUUUUGGUGGGUGUGGAGGAGUGGCGAACGGGUGAGUAACACGAGAGUAACCUGCCCCCUCCUGCUGGAUAACCGCAUGAAAGUGUGGCUAACACGGGAUAUUCUGGGCCGGACGCUUGAUGGGUGUGGGAAGGUUUUGGUUUCGGUGGGGGAUGGGCGCGCGGCCUAUCAGCUUGUUGGUGGGGUGAUGGCUUACCAAGGCGGUGACGGGUAGCCGGCCUGAGAGGGUGGACGGUCACACUGGGACUGAGACACGGCCCAGACUCAUACGGGAGGCAGCAGUGGGGAAUACUGCACAAUGGGCGCGAGCCUGAUGCAGCGACGCCGCGUGAGGGAUGGAGGCCUUCGGGUUGUGACCCUCUUUCGCCAGUGAAGCAGGCCUGCCUCGUUUGUGGGUGGGUUGACGGUAGCUGGAUAAGAAGCGCCGGCUAACUACGUG
RNAcentral lists this ribosomal RNA (494 nucleotides) under uncultured bacterium. RNAcentral's name for it is "partial 16S ribosomal RNA". It matches the Rfam family "Bacterial small subunit ribosomal RNA", at positions 28 to 507 of the family's 1533-position model. The record is from RNAcentral.